Molecule: ribosomal RNA, 115 nt
Filed under: Pteropus alecto (black flying fox)
Lineage: Eukaryota; Metazoa; Chordata; Mammalia; Chiroptera; Pteropodidae
Source: RNAcentral
ACCUAUAUCCACGCCACCCUAAAUGAGCCCCGUCCCGUCUCAUCGCGGAAGCUAAGCAGGGCCGGGCCUGGUGAGUGCUUGGAUGGGAGACCGCCUAGACCAGGUGCUGUGGGCG